GGAUAUUUUCCAGUCAGGUUCCUGGCUGGAGUCCAGCUGACAUCUGGCUCUGGCCGGGAGCUUGACUAUGA
RNAcentral lists this microRNA precursor (71 nucleotides) under Nannospalax galili (Upper Galilee mountains blind mole rat). Its description in RNAcentral is "miRNA (ENSNGAG00000006558.1)". The record is from RNAcentral. Lineage: Eukaryota; Metazoa; Chordata; Mammalia; Rodentia; Spalacidae.